This 710-nucleotide ribosomal RNA is filed under the name uncultured bacterium. Its description in RNAcentral is "bacterial SSU rRNA". It matches the Rfam family "Bacterial small subunit ribosomal RNA", at positions 54 to 754 of the family's 1533-position model. The record is from RNAcentral.
CAUGCAAGUCGAGGGGCAGCAUCAUCAAAGCUUGCUUUGAUGGAUGGCGACCGGCGCACGGGUGAGUAACACGUAUCCAACCUGCCGACAACACUGGGAUAGCCUUUCGAAAGAAAGAUUAAUACCGGAUGGCAUAAUUAUUCCGCAUGGGAUAAUUAUUAAAGAAUUUCGGUUGUCGAUGGGGAUGCGUUCCAUUAGGCAGUUGGCGGGGUAACGGCCCACCAAACCUACGAUGGAUAGGGGUUCUGAGAGGAAGGUCCCCCACAUUGGAACUGAGACACGGUCCAAACUCCUACGGGAGGCAGCAGUGAGGAAUAUUGGUCAAUGGACGAGAGUCUGAACCAGCCAAGUAGCGUGAAGGAUGACUGCCCUAUGGGUUGUAAACUUCUUUUAUACGGGAAUAAAGUGAGCCACGUGUGGCUUUUUGUAUGUACCGUAUGAAUAAGGAUCGGCUAACUCCGUGCCAGCAGCCGCGGUAAUACGGAGGAUCCGAGCGUUAUCCGGAUUUAUUGGGUUUAAAGGGAGCGUAGGCGGGUUGUUAAGUCAGUUGUGAAAGUUUGCGGCUCAACCGUAAAAUUGCAGUUGAUACUGGCGACCUUGAGUGCAACAGAGGUAGGCGGAAUUCGUGGUGUAGCGGUGAAAUGCUUAGAUAUCACGAAGAACUCCGAUUGCGAAGGCAGCUUACUGGAUUGCAACUGACGCUGAUGCUC